UUAUUUAUUAUUGCUACUAUAUCCCCCCUAUUUGAGUCAUGAAAAACUCAUGACUCAAUAAGCAGCAUAUAUAAAUAAUCUGUUUAAUGGUUUAGCCAUUAACACUGUCCUGUGUUACACAGCAAAAACCUGUGUAAAAGCAACAAAAAAAAAAUAAAUCACCAAAAUAAAAUGUUUUCAACAUCAAUAUCAAUUAGUAAUUUAGUUUUAAACAAUUUGUGAUAUAGCAAAUCAAAAUACAAACAAGUCUUUAGUGCAGCUUUACUGAAAAA
This is a long non-coding RNA of Sander lucioperca (pikeperch), 272 nucleotides long. RefSeq lists it as uncharacterized. The transcript has 2 exons. The record is from RefSeq and is a predicted model, not a curated record. NCBI's taxonomy places the organism in Eukaryota, Metazoa, Chordata, Actinopteri, Perciformes, Percidae.